CUCCCCAGCAGUGGGCAGCAUCCUGGCAGCCAUCAGGGCAGUGGCCCAGGCCGGCACAGGUAAGGCUGGCAUGCGGGAGGGGCUGCGGCAGGGAGGGCACAGUAAGCACGCUAAGCCCUGCCGGCUGCUCUCGCAGUGGGGACGCUCCUCAUCGUGAAGAACUACACUGGGGAUCGGCUCAACUUCGGCCUGGCCCGGGAGCAGGCCCGGGCUGAAGGCAUCCCGGUGGAGAUGGUGGUGAUUGGGGACGACAGCGCCUUCACUGUCCUGAAGAAGGCAGGCCGGCGGGGGCUGUGUGGCACGGUGCUUAUACACAAGGUGGGCUUCCACCGGGGACGUGGAGACUGGCCAGCCCUUUCCAGCCUUCCCUUGCCUGGCAGCACCCGGUAACUGGACCUUUCCAGCCCUU
This 409-nucleotide small RNA is filed under the name Pongo abelii (Sumatran orangutan). RNAcentral describes it as "retained intron". Lineage: Eukaryota; Metazoa; Chordata; Mammalia; Primates; Hominidae. The record is from RNAcentral.